This 372-nucleotide ribosomal RNA is filed under the name uncultured organism. RNAcentral's name for it is "partial 16S ribosomal RNA". It matches the Rfam family "Bacterial small subunit ribosomal RNA", at positions 527 to 896 of the family's 1533-position model. The record is from RNAcentral.
GUAGGUGGCAAGCGUUGUCCGGAAUUAUUGGGCGUAAAGCGCGCGCAGGGCGGUCCUUUAAGUCUGAUGUGAAAGCCCACGGCUCAACCGUGGAGGGUCAUUGGAAACUGGGGGACUUGAGUACAGAAGAGGAAGGCGGAAUUCCAAGUGUAGCGGUGAAAUGCGUAGAGAUUUGGAGGAACACCAGUGGCGAAGGCGGCUUUCUGGUCUGUAACUGACGCUGAGGCGCGAAAGCGUGGGGAGCAAACAGGAUUAGAUACCCUGGUAGUCCACGCCGUAAACGAUGAGUGCUAAGUGUUAGGGGGUUUCCGCCCCUUAGUGCUGCAGCUAACGCAUUAAGCACUCCGCCUGGGGAGUACGGCCGCAAGGCUG